RNAcentral lists this ribosomal RNA (253 nucleotides) under uncultured bacterium. Its description in RNAcentral is "partial 16S ribosomal RNA". It matches the Rfam family "Bacterial small subunit ribosomal RNA", at positions 524 to 776 of the family's 1533-position model. The record is from RNAcentral.
UACGGAGGGUGCAAGCGUUAAUCGGAUUUAUUGGGCGUAAAGGGGGCGUAGGCGGGAAAGAAAGUCAGCCGUGAAAGCCCGAGGCUCAACCUCGGAACAGCGUUUGAAACUUCUUUUCUUGAGGGUAGGCGGAGAAAACAGAAUUCCACAAGUAGCGGUGAAAUGCGUAGAUAUGUGGAAGAAUACCGGUGGCGAAGGCGGUUUUCUAGCUUAUUCCUGACGCUAAGGCCCGAAAGCUAGGGGAGCAAACAGG